AACAUGCUCCUGAAUGACUUUUUAAUAAAUAAUGAAAUUAAGGCAGAAAUCAAGAAGCUCUUUGAAAAUAAUGAGAACAAAGUUACAACAUACUAGAGCCUCUGGACACAGCUAAGACAAUGUUAGGAGGGAAAUUUAUAGCACUAAAUCCCACAUCAAAAAGUUAGGAAGAACUCAAAUUAAUAACCUAACAUCACAACUGAAAGAACUAGAGAAGCAAGACAAAACCCCAAAGCUAGAGGAAGACAAGAAAUAACUGAAAAUCUGAGCUGAACUGAAAGAAACCGAGACAUGAAAAAAAGAAAUUCAAAAGAUCUAUGAAUUCCGGACACUACCCAAAGCAGUGCUUCACUACAGUGGCAGACAGACCUGAAAAUUUUCAUCUGAAGCAGCAGAGUGAACUGCAGAGGCAGGUCACCAACCAGUGUGGAGGCUAAAAGCGGGCCUCUUUGGGGAUUCCAGGUGGAAGUGUUGGACAUCUGUAGUAUUCCUGGUCUCGAAUCAUCCUGAUAUUCUUCAUUUUGUUAUUCACAUUGGACUAGG
This 543-nucleotide long non-coding RNA is filed under the name Homo sapiens (human). RNAcentral describes it as "atherosclerotic plaque pathogenesis associated transcript". Lineage: Eukaryota; Metazoa; Chordata; Mammalia; Primates; Hominidae. The record is from RNAcentral.